This 445-nucleotide ribosomal RNA is filed under the name uncultured soil bacterium. Its description in RNAcentral is "bacterial SSU rRNA". It matches the Rfam family "Bacterial small subunit ribosomal RNA", at positions 26 to 518 of the family's 1533-position model. The record is from RNAcentral.
AGAACGAACGCUGGCGGCAUGCCUAACACAUGCAAGUCGAACGAGACCUUCGGGUCUAGUGGCGCACGGGUGCGUAACGCGUGGGAAUCUGCCCUUGGGUUCGGGAUAACAGUUGGAAACGACUGCUAAUACCGGAUAAUGACUUCGGUCCAAAGAUUUAUUGCCCAGGGAUGAGCCCGCGUAGGAUUAGCUAGUUGGUGAGGUAAAGGCUCACCAAGGCGACGAUCCUUAGCUGGUCUGAGAGGAUGAUCAGCCACACUGGGACUGAGACACGGCCCAGACUCCUACGGGAGGCAGCAGUGGGGAAUAUUGGACAAUGGGCGAAAGCCUGAUCCAGCAAUGCGCGUGAGUGAUGAAGGCCUUAGGUUGUAAAGCUCUUUUACCCGGGAUGAUAAUGACAGUACCGGGAGAAUAAGCCCCGGCUAACCUCCGCGCCAGCAGCCGC